This is a small nucleolar RNA of Anoplopoma fimbria (sablefish), 136 nucleotides long. RefSeq annotates it as small nucleolar RNA SNORA17. The transcript has a single exon. NCBI's taxonomy places the organism in Eukaryota, Metazoa, Chordata, Actinopteri, Perciformes, Anoplopomatidae. The record is from RefSeq and is a predicted model, not a curated record.
AAUGCCCCUUGAGGCGUUGCAGCCCAACUAUUGUGUGUUGCGGCUGUGUCGUAAGGCGGCAGAGAGAGAACGGUGGUAGUCUGCACUGGGACUCGGCUACUCACUGAGGACUCGGAGUGAUGCUCUCGCCGACAGU